Chelonia mydas (Green sea turtle) is the source of this 1840-nucleotide RNA transcript. It is a transcript of the gene named oxidative stress-responsive serine-rich protein 1, with no coding region annotated. The record is from RefSeq and is a predicted model, not a curated record. The transcript has 4 exons. NCBI's taxonomy places the organism in Eukaryota, Metazoa, Chordata, Testudines, Cheloniidae.
GCAUAACCCUGGGCCAGGGCUCUGGCUUUUCGUGAAAAUAGUUAUGUGGGUACAAGCCCUAGUGUAGACAAAGCUAUACCAGUAUAAUGGUAGCUGAUACCGGUACAGGUUAUUCCCUUUCAUAUAUGUGACUAAGCUAUACCACUAUAAGCACGUUUGUACAGAUAUAACUGUGUCCGCAGGGAGGAUUGUACUACUUCACCUAUACUGGCUUUGUUAAAGCGGUACCGCUUUUGUGUGUAGCAAGGCCUGAGUCAAAUUUGAAACAAAACUUGUAUGUGUAGGUGGGUGGGAAAUAAAAUCACACUUUUCAGAGAAGGCUGUGUGGAAGAGUCAUUGUGGGGUUCGAUGUUUGUGUCUCAAUGACUCCAAGUCAAGUGUGGCCUUUUGUGCUUGUAAACUGAGUGUUGGGGUGGAUGUUUCCUACGUGCCAGUGCCAGAAACUCAUCCAAGACUGAGUCAAAUCAGAUUGCAGGUUAUGGUGAUUAAAUUAUGCCUUCGCAGGCAUCAGUGUAGCAUCAUUACCUUGAGUUGUCUUCCAUGGUUUUUACAUGCCCUGAGGACAGAAAUUAAGCAAGCAAUGGGAAUGUGGUUAACAAUUUGUUGAUGCAGAAGCUCCCAGAAUAGAAUCUCAUUUCCCUCCCAGAGCUGUGCAGAACUAACUGAAGUAAACAGAAAUAAAAAUGUGGUUUUGAUAGAAAACAACCUGUGACUGAAUACACACAGAUCUAUAGGUGCACACUUCCAUGGCACAAUCAGUGUUACUCUGACAGCUCAUCAAUGGACUCAGAAGAUAAAGACAGAGAGGAAGAGAGUCUGCAGACAGCUUUCAAAAAGCUAAGAGUAGAUGCAGCAGGAUCUACCGCAUCUCUGUCUGUGGAUGAGGGAACAAGUCUGAGAGCACCGAUAAGAACAGCUAUGGACGGAACCAAACCUCAGCCUGUCUGUGCCAAAGAGACUUGGCAUGGGUGUGUGAGGAAGCCCUCCAGGGGGUCAUCAAGAACCCAGCGUCGUAGGCGUUCCAAGUCUCCUGUCCUGCAUCCUCCCAAGUUUACCUACUGCAGUAUGAAAGCAUCUUCUGCCCGCAGCCAGUUGAAACACAAAAGCCAGCCAGACACUGCAAAGAGUAAUAUCAGCUCAGACAUUUGUGUUGCAGAAGAACCGUGUACAGGGGACAAGUGUGAUUCCUGCUUUGAUGCCAAUGAUUGUAGAAGAGCCAGAAAUGAACCUUUGGGAGCUUCCACAACUGAACAGCCUUUGGAGAAUUCAAGAGAGAAUUCUGCUGCUGUUUCGUCGUCCUUUGAAACCAGCCUGGAUUCUAGACAGUCUUCAGAUUUCCAGUCAUUAUCUGUGCUUAGCGAUAGCAAGCAGUGUCCUUGCGUGGACAAGGAAUGCCAGUGCAAACAGUGGCAAGACGUGGAAGUGUACUCUUUUUCUGGCUUGCGGAAUGUCCUGUCAGAAUGUGAAAAGGCAGUGCUAGAAGUCCAUUCCCAGUCUCUGCAGAACAAAUCACCCUCUGGUAUGGCUUCAUCAGGUUCUCCCCGAUCUUGUUCUGAGCAAGCUCGAGCCUUCGUGGACGAUGUGACAAUUGAAGAUCUUUCCGGAUACAUGGAAUAUUACUUAUAUAUUCCCAAGAAAAUGUCCCACAUGGCAGAAAUGAUGUACACUUGACUACAAGGAAUCCAUGGAGAAUCAUGGGCUGGAAAUUCAGUAGUAAUGAGUGGAUGAAGUGCUUCCCUCAGAGCCAUGAGUGGGAAUUUGGCCAUUCUCAUUGCUGUGUAUUUGAUCAAAUGUUUCUUUGCACCAUACAGUGUAGUUUUUUAAUAAAGUGAAAAACAGA